Molecule: ribosomal RNA, 421 nt
Filed under: uncultured Hydrogenophaga sp.
Lineage: Bacteria; Pseudomonadati; Pseudomonadota; Betaproteobacteria; Burkholderiales; Comamonadaceae
Description: bacterial SSU rRNA
Rfam family: Bacterial small subunit ribosomal RNA
Source: RNAcentral
CAACGCGAAAACCUUACCACCUUUGACAUGGCAGGAAGUUCCAGAGAUGGAUUCGUGCUCGAAAGAGAACCUGCACACAGGUGCUGCAUGGCUGUCGUCAGCUCGUGUCGUGAGAUGUUGGGUUAAGUCCCGCAACGAGCGCAACCCUUGCCAUUAGUUGCUACGAAAGGGCACUCGUAAUGGGACUGCCGGUGACAAACCGGAGGAAGGUGGGGAUGACGUCAAGUCCUCAUGGCCCUUAUAGGUGGGGCUACACACGUCAUACAAUGGCCGGUACAAAGGGCAGCCAACCCGCGAGGGGGAGCCAAUCCCAUAAAGCCGGUCGUAGUCCGGAUCGCAGUCUGCAACUCGACUGCGUGAAGUCGGAAUUGCUAGUAACGGCGGAUCAGCUACGCCCGCCGUCGAAUACGUUCCGGGCCUU